UACGGAGGAUCCAAGCGUUAUCCGGAUUUAUUGGGUUUAAAGGGUGCGUAGGCGGAUUGAUAAGUUAGAGGUGAAAUGUCCGAGCUCAACUCGGGAACUGCCUCUAAUACUGUUGAUCUAGAGAGUAGAUGCGGUAGGCGGAAUGUAUGGUGUAGCGGUGAAAUGCUUAGAGAUCAUACAGAACACCGAUUGCGAAGGCAGCUUACCAAUCUAUAUCUGACAUUGAGGCACGAAAGCGUGGGGAGCAAACAGG
RNAcentral lists this ribosomal RNA (253 nucleotides) under uncultured bacterium. RNAcentral's name for it is "partial 16S ribosomal RNA". It matches the Rfam family "Bacterial small subunit ribosomal RNA", at positions 524 to 776 of the family's 1533-position model. The record is from RNAcentral.